This is a long non-coding RNA of Hypanus sabinus (Atlantic stingray), 4374 nucleotides long. RefSeq lists it as uncharacterized. The transcript is spliced from 2 exons. NCBI's taxonomy places the organism in Eukaryota, Metazoa, Chordata, Chondrichthyes, Myliobatiformes, Dasyatidae. The record is from RefSeq and is a predicted model, not a curated record.
ACGUGACGCGUCCGCGCGCCUGGGCGGUUGGAAGGCGGUUUUUUCCCUCGCGGUUCGGUCGAGUCUCAACGGCGACCGGGUCGACGCUGCGGUGGAAUGGAAAAGGGGAUGUGAGGAGUGGAAAACAACUAGAAAAUGUUAAUAAUUACAGAGAACUACGUUCCACUCCAAGGCAGCCACAAAGCAAGAAACCCGAAUAACCCAAUUAAAAAUAGACCAAAAACCACUGCUCAGAGAAAGAGAAGACGAAAAUACACAUUGUGCGAACAGAAGCAAGCCAACCGUACCCUGAACUAGACUGAGUCCCAUAUCCGCUCCCAGAGCAGCUGUAGUAGGCCUAAGCCUCAAGUCUCCAGUACAUCAUGCAACGGGGUUGGAAACACACAGCAGCUGGAUCAGUUCACAGCCUUGGCGCUGUGGAAGAAGGAAUAAAUAUUCGCAGAACGAACAAAAUCAGCCCGACCUUCGCCUCCCUACCCGACAAUUAGGCUUCCAAGUCUAUCUGAGCAGAAGUUUAAGUUGUCCAAGCACCGGGUAGUGCCAUGUUCUAGGGCCUAGAUCCUGGUGCCCUAAUACGCUUGAGCACCCCAGCCUGAAGCCAUUCUUGAUCUCACCAAAUCAGCUUGGUGCUUGGAGUGACCCAGCCUCGCACCUGGGUUAGGUGGAUGGACAGUGAAACUCUUCUACAUCAACUCCUUUUCAAGUUGCUCACUCCAUCUCCAACAGUGACAUGAACUCAGUCAACAACCCUAGCUCGGACAUGUUGCAUCUUGCAAUGCCACAGCACGGUUCAUUCCCCAAACCAGCCUUGCUUCCCGCCUGUCUCCUCACUGGCUGUGGCAGUAGGUUACAACAAUUUUCUUCAGAAAAGAUGUUAGAGUAAUGUUUUUAGUUUGCAGAUCUUGCCUUACGAUCUACUAGUAUGCUGUCAUAUGUCUUCGGUAGCAUACGUUCAUUGACCACUUUAUUAGCAAUUGUGCUUAUACCUAUAAUCUCAAACUCCCUUAUGCACCAUACUGAUCUAUUUAUACUACCAUUUUCACCUUCAUCUGCUUCAUAAAAAUUGGGAUUCUGGCCUUCUGUGUUCUUAGUGAGAUCAAAGGACUCCUUGUUCCAGUUUCCUGUUUUCACUGCCCUAUGUUCAGGAAGUGUCAAUAUUGCUGGAUGUGCAUGUUCGCCCAAGCGUGUAAUGCGCAAGGCACAUGAAGGAGGUGAUAUUCAGGCACCAUUUUCCUAAUUCAGGAAACCCUUGUAUUACCUCUGCAUCACACUUGUCCAUUUCUCUGCCUGCCUCUGCUUCCUUUCUGAGUUCCUUGUGGCUAUCCCCUUUUGUGUUCUUUCCUAUCCUUUGUUGCUUCCACCCCUGCCCCAUGACCUCUCCACCAUGAACUUUCUUUGCUUAAUCCCGAGCAUCUCGCCAACCAAUUCCAUUCUCCUAUUCAGCAGUGCCUUAGUCCGCAAGCCCUUUCUGGUGAACUUCAGGUAGGCCCACCAGCUGAAGAUGAUGGUAGCCUACUAGUCAACAGUCCGAGGGCCACCAGUGCAGUGAGUAGGCGGGGUUCCAUUGGUCCAAUGUGAGGCUGCCUGCCUGUUCUGAGAGGACAUGGCCACAGCUGUAAAUGAUACUCCAGAGUCAAGGUAAUACGAUAUUGCCCUCUGGCAGAGAAGGGCUCAGAUCUGGGGAUUGAGCUGUUUCUGGGUCAGCUUCUAUCUUGCAGAUAUCAGACCCUUGAAUAGUUCCGCAGUAUAAUUAGAUGGUCUCAUUACUUCAGAACUUGCCUCAUUAUGAUCUUGCACGUGACUACAAGAAAAUGUAGAGUGUUAAUGAGGACAGCUUACAACAUCACAGAAAAUCAGCCUCCCUCUCAUGGAGUCUGUCUACAAUUGUCACAGCCUCAGUUUAGCAGCCAUCAUAAUCAAAUCCUCCCCCCCCCCCCCCCCGUGACCUCUCCACCACAAACUUUCUUUGCUUAAUCCCUAGCAUCUCACCAACCAAUUUCAUUCUCCUAUUCAGCAGCGCCUUUCUCUCAUGUUUCUCUUCAUUCAGCUUUUACUCAUCUCUAGCACUAUCUCCCGUGCUUCCAGUUUUCAGCCACUGGGUUUAGGUUUGGUCCAGCCUCUGGAAGGAAAUGUCAGACAGCCAUCUCAAGGCUGGGCCAUCCAAAUGCCAGAUCAAGGUUUUACUUUCCUGUUCCUUUAUCACCUGGUUCCAUAUUCCCAACUUAUGAAAUUUGGCUCCCAGGCUCCAGAUCCAGAUUCCUUGCCCCUAGCAUUGAGUAACUUCCCUCAGAUCCAGUGUAGCUUCAUCAGGUGCAGGUUCCCUACUUCCUGAUCUGAUUCCCUUUGCCCUGGGUCCAAUCUGUAGAUUCACCACCCUCAUUUUCUCCAUCAUGUAGUCCAAAGCAUGCCAUCCAGAUUCCUUGCUUGUAGCAUUGAGCAACUUCCUUCAGAUCCAGUGUAGCUUCAUCAGGUGCAGGUUCCCUACUUCCUGAUCUGAUUCCCUUUGCCCUGGGUCCAAUCUAUAGAUUCACCACCCUCAUUUUCUCCAUCAUGUAGUCCAAAGCAUGCCAUCCAGAUUCCUUGCUCAUAGCAUUGAGCAACUUCCCUCAGAUCCAGUGUAGCUUCAUCAGGUGCAGGUUCCCUACUUCCUGAUCUGAUUCUCUUUGCCCUGGGUCCAAUCUGUAGAUUCACCACCCUCAUUUUCUCCAUCAUGUAGUCCAAAGCAUGCAGUCCAAAUUCCUUGCUCAUAGCAUUGAGCAACUUCCCUCAGAUCCAGUGUAGCUUCAUCAGGUGCAGGUUCCCUACUCACUGAUCUGAUUCCCUUUGCCCUGGAUCCAAUCUGUAGAUUCACCACCCUCAUUUUCUCCAUCAUGUAGUCCAAAGCAUGCAGUCCAAAUUCCUUGCUCAUAGCAUUGAGCAACUUCCCUCAGAUCCAGUGUAGCUUCAUCAGGUGCAGGUUCCCUACUUCUUGAUCUGAUUCUCUUUGCCCUGGGUCCAAUCUGUAGAUUCACCACCCUCAUUUUCUCCAUCAUGUAGUCCAAAGCAUGCAGUCCAAAUUCCUUGCUCAUAGCAUUGAGCAACUUCCCUCAGAUCCAGUGUAGCUUCAUCAGGUGCAGGUUCCCUACUUCCUGAUCUGAUUCUCUUUGCCCUGGGUCCAAUCUGUAGAUUCACCACCCUCAUUUUCUCCAUCAUGUAGUCCAAAGCAUGCAGUCCAAAUUCCUUGCUCAUAGCAUUGAGCAACUUCCCUCAGAUCCAGUGUAGCUUCAUCAGGUGCAGGUUCCCUACUUCCUGAUCUGAUUCCCUUUGCCCUGGGUCCAAUCUAUAGAUUCACCACUGUCAUUCUCCACCAUGUAGUCCAAAGCAUGCAGUCCAGUCACCCAGCUUUGCUCAAUCAGUUUGGGCUGUGAUCUGCAAUCUUCUAGCUGGGCCAUACCGAUUUUGGGCUUGGUCGCCUUAGUCAGCCAGCCCUUUCUGGUAAACUUCAGGUAGGCCCACCAGCUGAAGAUGAUGGUAGCCUACCAGUCAACAGUCCGAGGCCCACCAGUGUAGUGAGUAGGCGGGGUUCCAUUGGUCUAAUGUGAGGCUGCCUGCCUGUUCUGAGAGAACAUGGCCACAGCUGUAAAUGAUACACCGGAGACAAGGUAAUACGAUAUUGCCCUCUGGCAGAGAAGGGCUCAGAUCUGAGGAGUGGGCUGUUUCUGGGUCAGCUUCUAUCUUGCAGAUAUUGGACCCUUGAACAGUUCCGCAAUAUAAUUAGAAUGUCUCAACUUCAGAACUUGCCUCAUUAUGAUCUUGCACAUGACUACAAGAAAAUGUAGUGUUAUGAGGACAGCUUACAACAUCACAGGGAAUCAGCCUCCCUCUCAUGGAGUCUAUCUACAAUUGUCACAGCCUCAGUUUAGCAGCCAUCAUAAUCAAAUGCACCCCCCAUCCCACCACCCCCCGGCCUCCACUUUUUUCCUGGUCCCCUCCCCCAUCGGGUACAAUAUAGCAAAACCUGAAAGCAUUACCACCAGGCUCAAGUACAGUUUAUCCCAUUUUUCUUUGGCAAUAGGACAGAUACACAAGGGAGAAUUAAAUUCUUUGAAGUAAAUUUAUAAUCAAUGUAUAUAUACUGUAUGUCACCUUAAGGAACCCUGAUUAAUUUUUUUGUUGGCCUACUCAAUAAAUCCAGUAACUAUUAUUGAAUCAAUGAAGGUCUGCACCAACAGGGUGGACAGGAAACUGCAAAAUACAAAAGGGAAGAAAAAGGAGAAAUAAUUACAAGUACUGAGAAUAUAAGAUGUUGUGUCCUUGAAAAUGCAUUCAUAGUGAUGUACUGUACUGUACUGCUGAAGAACAAUAAAUUGCAUGAAGUAGGUCAGUGGAAAUUAA